RNAcentral lists this ribosomal RNA (496 nucleotides) under uncultured bacterium. RNAcentral describes it as "partial 16S ribosomal RNA". It matches the Rfam family "Bacterial small subunit ribosomal RNA", at positions 28 to 506 of the family's 1533-position model. The record is from RNAcentral.
GAUGAACGCUGGCGGCGUGCCUAAUACAUGCAAGUCGAGCGAACAGACGAGGAGCUUGCUCCUCUGACGUUAGCGGCGGACGGGUGAGUAACACGUGGAUAACCUACCUAUAAGACUGGGAUAACUUCGGGAAACCGGAGCUAAUACCGGAUAAUAUAUUGAACCGCAUGGUUCAAUAGUGAAAGACGGUUUUGCUGUCACUUAUAGAUGGAUCCGCGCCGCAUUAGCUAGUUGGUAAGGUAACGGCUUACCAAGGCAACGAUGCGUAGCCGACCUGAGAGGGUGAUCGGCCACACUGGAACUGAGACACGGUCCAGACUCCGACGGGAGGCAGAAGUAGGGAAUCUUCCGCAAUGGGCGAAAGCCUGACGGAGCAACGCCGCGUGAGUGAUGAGGGUCUUCGGAUCGUAAAACUCUGUUAUUAGGGAAGAACAAAUGUGUAAGUAACUAUGCACGUCUUGACGGUACCUAAUCAGAAAGCCACGGCUAACUACGU